This is a non-coding RNA of Kwoniella mangroviensis CBS 8507, 95 nucleotides long. The record is from the annotation of a RefSeq genome assembly. Lineage: Eukaryota; Fungi; Basidiomycota; Tremellomycetes; Tremellales; Cryptococcaceae.
UCCCCUUUAGCUCAGUGGUUUUAGAGUUUCGUGCUUAUGAGGAUACCUUUAGGUUUUGAUCACGAAUGUCGGCAGUUCAAUCCUGUCAAGGGGAA